This 204-nucleotide long non-coding RNA is filed under the name Elaeis guineensis (African oil palm). RNAcentral describes it as "long non-coding RNA (EGUI_LNC034989)". Lineage: Eukaryota; Viridiplantae; Streptophyta; Magnoliopsida; Arecales; Arecaceae. The record is from RNAcentral.
GAGAUGCACAUCGCCCCCCUCUAAAGGGACUCUUUUGUUGGUGGUUCUGCGGAGGGGUUUGGGACCUUCGACGUUUAGGUGGAGAUCGAGAGUGCUGCCGAUUCUUUCCAUAGCCCUUCUUCAGCAGGGGCUCCUUGAUCUCCUUUUCUUUCCUCUCUUUGGCACCCAUACCCACCGGGGGCUCAUUUCUAAAAGCUUCAUCUG